This 378-nucleotide ribosomal RNA is filed under the name Haemaphysalis leporispalustris. Its description in RNAcentral is "partial 16S ribosomal RNA". Lineage: Eukaryota; Metazoa; Arthropoda; Arachnida; Ixodida; Ixodidae. The record is from RNAcentral.
AGACUUUAAUUGAGUGCUAAAAGAAUGGACUUUCAAAAAAAAACUUUCYUGAAUUUAAUAUUUGAAUUUAUUUUUAUUUGUGAAGAAACAAUAAUUCAAAUUAAGGACAAGAAGACCCUAAGAAUUUUUAAUUUUACUAUUAAAUAUAUUUAAUAGUAAAAUUUUAAUUGGGGCGAUUUAAAAAGAUUAAUAACUUUUCAAAAUAAAAAUAAGAUCCAUUAGUAAUGAUUUUUUUGAAUAAAAUACUCUAGGGAUAACAGCGUAAUAAUUUUAGAUAGAUCCUAUARAAAAAAUAGUUUGCGACCUCGAUGUUGGAUUAGGAUUCUUAUUUAAUGCARAAGUUAAAAAUAARAAGUUUGUUCAACUUUUAAAAUCCUA